CAGGCUUAACACAUGCAAGUCGAGGGGCAGCAUGGUCUUAGCUUGCUAAGGCCGAUGGCGACCGGCGCACGGGUGAGUAACGCGUAUCCAACCUGCCUUACACUCUUGGACAGCCUUCUGAAAGGGAGAUUAAUACAAGAUGUUAUCAUGAGUAAGCAUUUUCGCAUGAUUAAAGGUUUACCGGUGUAAGAUGGGGAUGCGUUCCAUUAGAUAGUAGGCGGGGUAACGGCCCACCUAGUCUUCGAUGGAUAGGGGUUCUGAGAGGAAGGUCCCCCACAUUGGAACUGAGACACGGUCCAAACUCCUACGGGAGGCAGCAGUGAGGAAUAUUGGUCAAUGGACGAGAGUCUGAACCAGCCAAGUAGCGUGAAGGAUGAAGGUUCUAUGGAUUGUAAACUUCUUUUAUACGGGAAUAAACGGAUCCACGUGUGGAUUUUUGCAUGUACCGUAUGAAUAAGGAUCGGCUAACUCCGUGCCAGCAGCCGCGGUAAUACGGAGGAUCCGAGCGUUAUCCGGAUUUAUUGGGUUUAAAGGGAGCGUAGAUGGGUUGUUAAGUCAGUUGUGAAAGUUUGCGGCUCAACCGUAAAAUUGCAAUUGAUACUGGCAGUCUUGAGUACAGUUGAGGUAGGCGGAAUUCGUGGUGUAGCGGUGAAAUGCUUAGAUAUCACGAAGAACUCCGAUUGCGAAGGCAGCUUACUAACCUGUAACUGACAUUGAUGCUCGAAAGUGUGGGUAUCAAACAGGAUUAGAUACCCUGGUAGUCCACACGGUAAACGAUGAAUACUCGCUGUAGGCGAUAUACAGUCUGCGGCCAAGCGAAAGCAUUAAGUAUUCCACCUGGGGAGUACGCCGGCAACGGUGAAACUCAAAGGAAUUGACGGGGGCCCGCACAAGCGGAGGAACAUGUGGUUUAAUUCGAUGAUACGCGAGGAACCUUACCCGGGCUUAAAUUGCAACCGAAUAUGGCGGAAACGCUAUAGCUAGCAAUAGCGGUUGUGAAGGUGCUGCAUGGUUGUCGUCAGCUCGUGCCGUGAGGUGUCGGCUUAAGUGCCAUAACGAGCGCAACCCUUGCCGAUAGUUACUAACAGGUUAUGCUGAGGACUCUGUCGGGACUGCCAUCGUAAGAUGUUAGGAAGGUGGGGAUGACGUCAAAUCAGCACGGCCCUUACGUCCGGGGCUACACACGUGUUACAAUGGGGGGUACAGAGGGCUGCUACCACGCAAGUGGAUGCCAAUCCCAAAAACCUCUCUCAGUUCGGAUUGAAGUCUGCAACCCGACUUCAUGAAGCUGGAUUCGCUAGUAAUCGCGCAUCAGCCACGGCGCGGUGAAUACGUUCCCGGGCCUUGUACACACCGCCCGUCAAGCCAUGGGAGCCGGGGGUACCUGAAGUGCGUAACCGCAAGGAGCGCCCUAGGGUAAAACUGGUGACU
This 1431-nucleotide ribosomal RNA is filed under the name uncultured organism. RNAcentral's name for it is "16S ribosomal RNA". It matches the Rfam family "Bacterial small subunit ribosomal RNA". The record is from RNAcentral.